Molecule: long non-coding RNA, 1418 nt
Organism: Drosophila hydei
Lineage: Eukaryota; Metazoa; Arthropoda; Insecta; Diptera; Drosophilidae
Exons: 4
Source: RefSeq, a predicted model, not a curated record
AGCUAAACUAGUCUCACAAGACAGCUCGGAGGCUUGCAUAGACUAUUUUUUGUAUGUAGUGCAACUGAGGUAUAUACAGGAAGAGGCAGCGAGAGAGGAGACAGGGAAGCAGCUAACAUAUAGAGUCAACAAAAAUUAACAGCAUAUGCAAAACAGCAACGACAUAAGCAAACAACAGAAAGAAAAAAACAACAGCAAUGCAGCAAACUGAUUUACGCUUGUUUGGCAAAUUUGAGUACGUAAUGUGACUAGCGUAAAAGGCACAAAACACGGCGAACUGUCAACGCCAAGUGUUAAAAAUGUCAAAUAAAUAAUGCUAGAGCAGCAGCAGCAACAACAACUACAUCAGUAACAACAGCAAUGACAAACAAGUACACUAAUGAGCUGCCUGAUAAAUGCAAUGCAAACUUAAAACUUGAACCUCGCACGCAGCUCUCGAUCUGUUAGAGCAAAAGUUUUCCACGAAGCGUAUGCAAACAGCCAAAGCAGCCAACAUCAACAGCAGCAACUCACCCACCCCCGCCCCUGUUGCCCAUGGAAAGCCAAUUUGCAUACAAAACCGAGCCCAACCGAACCGAAGCCAAGUCGCUAAGCUAAUGCCAGUCACAAGCCACGCCGUCACACGGGACGUAUGCGCAACGCACGCACAGAGUUAUGGGCGAUUUGCUGGUGCAACAAAAUGCUAGUAGUGUAAAGAAAAAGAAAACUAAAUUUUUAAACAUUUUGUACACGAAGUGCCAAUCCAGGUUUCUACUGUUUCCGAUAACUGCAUAGCAGCUGAUAAAGUGAUGGGUAACAUUAAAAUAUUUAAUGAGAAAUUCGCAGUAUUGAAAUGAGUCUAGAGUUCAAAACAAAAGAACAACGCAUGCCAACUAGUUGUUUAAGCAAGACAAAUGCAAAUAUGUAUUGAGGCCACACCGAAGAUGUGUGGGGAUGGAGGUGGACAGCAGCAAGUGCUACGAUAAGGACCACACCGAGCAUUUGAUAAGGCGGAGACUGUGCCAAGAGCGUAGUCGGCGAGAAGAGCAGAUAAAAUGCUCAUGGGCAAGUUCAAAGAGCCGACAAGGCAAGCGUCGUCACAGCAUCAAACAAAGUGAGCAACAAAUUAGAGGAGACAACUACCAAGAAAUUCUAUUGAAUGAGUCUGGAUGCGUUGUGGAUGCCGUCGACGCUUGCGUCAUCAAAUUUGUAGCUGGUUAUCAGCAGCAGGCGCUGACGACGGCGGCUGAUAAGACCGAGUGAACUACAAAGAGCUAAAGCUGUAGCCAGCACAUUCCGUAGCCCCGUCGCAUUUUCAUUUUGUGUCCUUAUCAAUUUUACGACUUCCUUUGGCUUCGUCGGACAACUCGGACCACCGGCUCGUUGCAAUUAGCCUGAUUUUCGAAUGCUGGGACCGUAGCCCGUGACUCGCUUUGGUA